AUGCACAAACCAUCAUUUGCAUCCCUAAAGGUACUCCAUUAUUUUGCAGGGACCAGUCAUCCCCCGAUCAAAAUAAGAUCGCCGAUCCUGGAUGUGCAUUUGCAUCCGCGAUUCGGUCUAACCUGGAACCUUGUAGCUGACUUUGGCAUAUUGGGAUCAACUAUCUUAGCAGUCGUUACCCAUGGUACCACUGAUGUGCAACAUGGUCACACAAUCUACCACGAUCAGACCGUCACCAUCUACCCAGGUAUUCCAUUUUUUAACCCUCUCACCUUCUCUUUCAUUGUUGUACUAGUAGUAUACUUAGUACUACUAGUAGGAGUACUUUUUACCUUGGAGGACGCAUAUAGCUAG
RNAcentral lists this ribosomal RNA (354 nucleotides) under Triticum aestivum (bread wheat). Its description in RNAcentral is "partial small subunit ribosomal RNA". Lineage: Eukaryota; Viridiplantae; Streptophyta; Magnoliopsida; Poales; Poaceae. The record is from RNAcentral.